ACCAGACUCCUACGGGAGGCAGCAGUGAGGAAUAUUGGUCAAUGGGCGCGAGCCUGAACCAGCCAAGUCGCGUGAGGGAUGACGGCCCUACGGGUUGUAAACCUCUUUUGUCGGGGAGCAAAUUCCGUUACGUGUAACGGAGUCGAGAGUACCCGAAGAAAAAGCAUCGGCUAACUCCGUGCCAGCAGCCGCGGUAAUACGGAGGAUGCGAGCGUUAUCCGGAUUUAUUGGGUUUAAAGGGUGCGUAGGCGGGCUGUUAAGUCAGCGGCCAAAUGUCGGGGCUCAACCCCGGCCUGCCGUUGAAGCUGGCGGCCUCGAGUGGGCGAGAAGUAUGCGGAAUGCGUGGUGUAGCGGUGAAAUGCAUAGAUAUUGCGCAGAACUCCGAUUGCGAAGGCAGCCUACCGGCUCCUGUCUGACGCUGAGGCACGAAAGCGUGGGUAUCGAACAGGAUUAGAUACCCUAGUAUCG
This 468-nucleotide ribosomal RNA is filed under the name uncultured bacterium. RNAcentral describes it as "bacterial SSU rRNA". It matches the Rfam family "Bacterial small subunit ribosomal RNA", at positions 330 to 793 of the family's 1533-position model. The record is from RNAcentral.